RNAcentral lists this ribosomal RNA (836 nucleotides) under Haptophyta environmental samples. RNAcentral describes it as "bacterial SSU rRNA". It matches the Rfam family "Bacterial small subunit ribosomal RNA", at positions 481 to 1325 of the family's 1533-position model. Lineage: Eukaryota; Haptophyta. The record is from RNAcentral.
GAGGAAUAAGCAUCGGCUAACUCCGUGCCAGCAGCCGCGGUAAUACGGGGGAUGCAAGCGUUAUCCGGAAUCAUUGGGCGUAAAGCGCCUGUAGGUUGUUUAAUAAGUCUGUUGUUAAAGACUAGGGCUUAACCCUAGAAAAGCAAUGGAAACUACUAGACUAGAGUAUGGCAGGGGUAGAGGGAAUUUCUAGUGUAGCGGUGAAAUGCGUAGAUAUUAGAAAGAACACCGGUGGCGAAAGCGCUCUACUGGACCAUUACUGACACUCAGAGGCGAAAGCUAGGGUAGCAAAAGGGAUUAGAUACCCCUGUAGUCCUAGCCGUAAACGAUGGAUACUAGAUGUUGUGUUUUAUAUACAGUAUCGUAGCUAACGCGUUAAGUAUCCCGCCUGGGGAGUACGCUCGCAAGGGUGAAACUCAAAGGAAUUGACGGGGGCCCGCACAAGCGGUGGAGCAUGUGGUUUAAUUCGAUGCAACGCGAAGAACCUUACCAGGGCUUGACAUACUACAGAUUCUUUAGAGAUAGAGAAGUGCCUUCGGGAAUGUAGAUACAGGUGGUGCAUGGCUGUCGUCAGCUCGUGUCGUGAGAUGUUGGGUUAAGUCCCGCAACGAGCGCAACCCUUAUUUUUAGUUACCAAUUCGUUGGGUUCUCUAGAAAGACUGCCGGUGACAAACCGGAGGAAGGUGAGGAUGACGUCAAGUCAGCAUGCCCCUUAUGUCCUGGGCUACACACGUGCUACAAUGGCUAAGACAAAGAGUUGCGAGCUCGCGAGAGUAAGCUAAUCUCAUAAACUUAGCCUAAGUUCAGAUUGUAGGCUGCAACUCGCCUACGUGAAG